AUGCUCUGCAACCUCUGCAGCCUCCCCGUGCCCUUCCCCAGCUCCCCACCGCCGGCGCAAGGGACACCCGGAGCUUUGGGGACAUGGAGGGGACCCCCAGCCCCAUUUGGAGCCAUGCUGUGGGUUAUCCACCCGCUGUGCCCAAGGCACGGGGACGUCACGGUGCCAAGGGAGCAAGGAGCAAAGUUCCCCGAGGACGUGCCCGGAGGGAGGGAGCGGGCAGAGCGCGGUGCUGGAGAGGCCGCGGGUACUUACAGGCUGCGAGCCACGGCGCUCAUCUUCCCGGCGGGGCUGCCUUUCCCUUGGGUGGCCAUCUCUUCCUCUUGGCAGCCUCUGAAAAGAAGGGGACGGGCUGUGAGGAUGCCCCAAAGGUGCCUUCAGCCCCUAAAACCACCCACGUCCUCCUGCACGCUGCCACCCCCUACCCCGAGGAUGGCAACCCGGUGGCGAGCUGGAAAGGAGGAGGACGCCACGGGGGGACCUGGUCUCAUCCAGAGCAGCCGUGCCCAGUGUCCCUUCGUCCCCACGCUCUCCUUGUGCUGCCACCUUCACCACGCACCCCACUGUAGGGGAUUUCCCCCCCGGCUGCCCUACCCAGCUCAGCAGUGCCCAUGCCCUCCAGGCUGGAGCAGGAUGCGGCCACUGAGCGGUGCCCGUGCCGGCCCCGCGGUGCUGGAGGCUGGGGCUGAGCCUCUCACGGAGCCCGGGCAGAGUCCGGGGCAGAGGCGGGGUGAGAAAAGGCAGGGGACAGGCGAGGAUCAGGAAACGUUGCUCCGGGGCUCCCCGUGCUGCUGGCUCCUUCCCAGCAAGAGCCCAAGGGUGGGCACCCCGAGCAUUCACGUGGAGCCCCCCAGCACCUCCAGCACCCAGCUGAGCCCCUCGCCGGACAAGGGAAGGACUAAAAUAAGCAAAAAGAGUGUUUUUUCUCCUUUUUUCCCCUGUCCCACCAGCUCAGCAGGGCUUAUCUCCAAGCCAGGAGACUGGGGGGGCUUGGAAAGCUUGGGGUUCCCUGGAAAUUCCCUGCGCACACCCGCCUGGAUCCCAUCUACCAGCCCCACGGGUGGUAGCUCAUCCUGCCCCAACACUGCUGUGGGAUUUCAGGGCUUUAUCACUCAGUUUAUAAAUAUUUAA
This 1131-nucleotide long non-coding RNA is filed under the name Anas platyrhynchos platyrhynchos (common mallard). Its description in RNAcentral is "lncRNA (ENSAPLG00000018431.1)". Lineage: Eukaryota; Metazoa; Chordata; Aves; Anseriformes; Anatidae. The record is from RNAcentral.